Daphnia pulex (common water flea) is the source of this 700-nucleotide long non-coding RNA. RefSeq lists it as uncharacterized. The record is from RefSeq and is a predicted model, not a curated record. Lineage: Eukaryota; Metazoa; Arthropoda; Branchiopoda; Diplostraca; Daphniidae. The transcript has 4 exons.
CUACAGCUAUCUUCUUCGAAAAUUACCAAUGAAUUUGUUGGUAAAUUGAUUAGAUUUCCUGUGCAAUUUGUUUGGCAUGUGUUGUUUACCGAAUAUUUGUUUAAUAACAUCAUUAUUUCUCCUCCAUUUCCAGGAAAAAAUGUGAAAGGUGCAUGAAGCCAGUACCGUCAACUAUUGUGUUAAAAAUCCUGGUAUCCUACAGAAUAUGUCAUCCAAAUGACCAAAUAACAGAGUGGAUUCAUCACUAUUAUCGGCUGAAUUAUUCUAUGGGACUUGCCAGAUCACCAACCGCCAAAGCAUGGACCAAUUUCUCAUUCCAUCUUCUAGAGAACCUUACAUAACCGAUUGGUGGUUUAGUGUUUAAGUUUACUUGUCAUGUCACUAAACUUAUUUUGUUGCAGUCUUAUAGGUAUUUAAAGUAUUGUUCUGCACUUAAGUCUAUCAAUGUUUAAGUUUAAUUUUUCUUUUAGAUCAUAGACAUCAAGCACAUUGAUGCCACAAAUUAUAGACAAGACUUUAUGAGAAGUCAUGUUGUUUGAAGAAAAAGGACUAUACAGUCGACAAGGUUCUUUGCUAACCCGUUGGCUGCUACCCUUGAAUCUCCCUGUUUACUUCCUUACACGGGUCCUCUUGAUUUAAGGGUAAUCCUUCGCUACUGAUCAUACACCCACUUGUGAAAACCGACGAGAGAAUGCUGUAA